GUGAGUACCGCCGGCCCCGGGCCUCCCUCGCAGGUGCUCGAGGCAGUAACAGCUAGAGAGAGCGUGUCCGGUUUCAACCGCUGUGCCCUCCCCCUCAUCUUUGUUAGUAUCCCUGUUUCUAAAGUAUACAUGAGAACAAAAAGUACUGGUGUCUUAAUAAGGUAGCUCUAACUGUCAAGCCUCAGAUACAGCAUCUCCACAGGACUACCCCCUACCCUUCUGAUCCAGUCUCUCUCUUCUCCUUGUACAGGAAGAAAUUCGGGUUGCAGCGUCUUCUGUAAUGUAAAAUGCCAGUAACUGCUAAUCCAGCAUCUGAACAGUCUGGUUCUGCUUUCAUCCUGCUCUCUAAAGAGUGGCUCUGUUACUAGCUGGCUCUCCCCUACUUCUAGUGAUCUGAAGAAGAAAUACAACAUAACAGCCAUUCCUAAACUGGUGAUUGUGAAACAAACCGGAGAAGUCAUUACUGACAAAGGAAGAAAACAAAUCAGAGACAAAGGGCUAUCCUGUUUCCGAAACUGGCUUGAGGGUGCAGAUAUCUUUCAGAAUUUUUCUAGCUAAACAAAACUUUGCAGAUAGAAGCAAGACAAGGCAUCAUGGAAAAUUUUGUAGGGCUCUUGAGAGUGUUGCCUUGUUCAAAACAAAACUGUUGUUGCAUCCAGAUUUGACAGCCAGUGUUCAUGAUGGAGGGCCCAGGCCAAACAUUCAUGCAGUUGGUGGGCUAAGAAGAAAAGGGGGUUUAUGAUGACUAGCUUUUAUGUUCAGAUGAACGCUGCAGGCUCUCCUGUGACCCCUGAGCAUAUUGUUUGGGAAGAGACAAAGUAUGGUGGCAGACUUGCGGUGAUACUGCUUAUUUCAUUAGCACUCCCAGGGAAGCACUAUCAAUCUUGGAAAGAGUUGGUGCAGGUUUAA
This 909-nucleotide long non-coding RNA is filed under the name Struthio camelus australis. Its description in RNAcentral is "lncRNA (ENSSCUG00000017228.1)". Lineage: Eukaryota; Metazoa; Chordata; Aves; Struthioniformes; Struthionidae. The record is from RNAcentral.